AUGACUUUGAUCUGCGUCCUCAUCUGGACUCUCCUCUGCUGCUGCUUCACAGAGUCCAGAGGACAGGUCACAGUGACUCAGCCUGGAGCAGUGAGCUCUGCUCCGGGAGGCUCCGUCUCCAUCAGCUGUAGGAUCAGUCAGAAGGUUUAUAAUGGGAACUAUUUACACUGGUACCAACAGAGAGAUGGAGAAACUCCUAAACUCCUUAUUCGCAUUACUGGCACUCGUCAGUCAGGGACUCCAGAUCGUUUUACAGGCAGUGGAUCAAACUCUGACUUCACUCUGACCAUCAGUGGAGUUCAGACUGAAGAUGCAGCAGUUUACUACUGUCAGAGUUUUCAUGUCAUCAACAGUCAGUGGGUGUUCACACAGUGA
Molecule: non-coding RNA, 375 nt
Organism: Centropristis striata (black sea bass)
Lineage: Eukaryota; Metazoa; Chordata; Actinopteri; Perciformes; Serranidae
Source: the annotation of a RefSeq genome assembly